This is a long non-coding RNA of Malaclemys terrapin pileata, 4241 nucleotides long. RefSeq lists it as uncharacterized. Lineage: Eukaryota; Metazoa; Chordata; Testudines; Emydidae. The record is from RefSeq and is a predicted model, not a curated record. The transcript is spliced from 8 exons.
UUGAACAAAAGGAGAAACUCGGAUGAACUCUCCAUCUCUCUCUUCUCCUGGGUUAUCUAAUCUUCGGGAACUUUAUCCAGAGAGCAUUACCCAACUUCCUUCAAGCUCUCUCAGUACUUACAAAACAAACGGCCCCAUCGUGGCCUCAUAAGGAAUUCCCUCGAUUUCGUUUUCAGACUUUAAAGAAGAGAGAAGGUAAAGUGUGAUUGUCAGAGAAGCAUGAUGGCUGCCAAAACACCUUAUAGCAAUAGUUGCCAUAUUGCAUUUGCUCUUCAAAUGGUGGAAUACAGCUGUGGAUACUUUAGUGGGGAUUAACAGAGUACAAACACUGAAUGACUAAAGACAUCAAACAUCAUCAUUUGGAUUUAUAUAUCUAUUAAUAAACUGAUAAAACUGGUGGUAGUGGCUCUUGAAGAAAUCAGAAAAUAUGGAAGGUGCUGUUGAAAAUGGUCUGGUGAUCGCUUUGUGACAAUGAUCUUCUACAAUUAAAAUAAGGGAAUUGGCCAUAUCUCUUUCUUUCGCCUGGUUGCUGAAGCAUUGUCACAGGACAGCAAGGAUUGAUGAAUAUUCUUCAGGUAUGAGUCAUGUCAGUACAGUGAAAGAGGAGGAUUUAUGUUUCUGAAGUGGAAUUGUGUAUGUGAUCAAAGGAUUUACAUGCAGCUCUCUGUGCUGUAGUUCCUUCCUGCUCCAGGAGGGACACCUGGGGUGAUGUCUUCGAACGUGGUAAAGGGCCUCUAUCCGCAAGCUGGCAUUAAGAUACCAUCAUUGGUCUCUGCAGCACCAGCUUUAGAUACCACUGUGAUGGGCAACCUUGAAAUACCAAGAGCGGCAAGCAGCAUACCACAUCUUCAUUUUUAGCUCUUUUCCAUACUCUGCUCUGUUGGGAAGACUGUGGCAAGGUGGCUCUGAUAUCAUCUAGAGACCUCCAGAUUUCCUUGGUUUCUCUCAUUCUUGCUUUCAGCCUGGGUCUUGCAUGAGACUGCACUGGUUUUCUUGGUGGUUGAGCUCGUCCUGUGAAAGAAAGAUCAGGUUUCCCUGGAUAGGAACGAGGCCCAGAAUUCAAGCCAGUCUUCCUAAGUGAGGGACCCGCUCAAAACUGCUCACUGAUGGACAGUAGGUCUUGCCUGUCACUCUUGCUGUUAUGGCAGGAGGUACUGCAAUGGUGACCAAGCUAUGUCCAGGUUAUGCCUUUCUUCAGAUACUAAGGACUGCAGGCUUCGAGCUGCGCUGUUUGGAAGAAGCAACGUCGUCGUCUCACAGCUACGACGCGGCACUGCUCUCAGCAUAUCCUGCUUUUUCCCCCCAUUUACCUGGGCGGCUUCUGCUGUCUCUGUUGCUGCUGCUGGGGCUGCUGCAGUUUCGCUGCCUGUGCUUCACCCUGGCAUGUCUGAGUCGGGAAUCACUCGUCUGCACGCUGCUAAGGAAGAGCAGCGAUGGAACUCUGGCCACAUUUUUUUUUUCUGUUGGUGCUGGAAGAGAAGGGUUGUGAUGUGGGGUGAGGGUUUUUUUUGGAAGGGUGGGGACGUUAAUCCAAAGUGAGGUGGGAGAAAGUUUAAAGAAAUAUUACGCAAAAUAAUCCAGCACACGACAAGGGCAUCAGCAGCAAGAAUCCAGCCUCUGCUGCUCGAAAGGAUUAACAUGGGAAAAGCCACAGUGAUGCAGUAGUGUUUCACCUCAGCAUUGUGCUGGAGAUGGAUAAAUAAGGUAUCUGAUAUGUCCGCCUGUAAAGGCAAAGCUAUGGGAGGAAGAGAGCGAGAGAGCAAAUGAAAAGGAAGAAGAAACACUGUAUUCUGUUUGUCUGAUUCUGUGCAUUCUUAUUCUAGAGAUGGUUGCAUAAUUUACCAAACAAUGUAUGGACGGAGGGACUGUAAAUUGUAGUCUGAACACUCCCGACGCUGUCUGGGAGGGAACUGAUGGGCUAGGUGACUGCACUGACAUCCCCAGGGAAAACAGCCGUCAUGCAGUAUAUAUUUAUAUAUGUAUGUGUAUCUCUUGUGUGUCCAUGUGCAGACAUGAAAAAAGGCAUUUCUACCAAUUUACACAGGAAGUUUGUCACUCUGCUAGAUCAGACUUGAUUGCAGCUUAUAUUUUCAGCUACAGCUCUACACCCAUUUCCUGAAUCAGAAGGUGUUUUGUGAAAACAGACGUAUGCAGAAUUCUUUUAAGAAAUGUGAAAGCAGCUCCUUUUGAUUUAACACCUUGAAGCACUGAAUCUUCGGUACUGUGCCGAGAGGAGCUGUGUGGGUUUUGUUUUUUUCAUCUUAAAAUCUUUAUAAACACAGCUGUAUUCAGUAUGGUGAAAAAUUCUAUACUGUAAAUAGAAAUGCGAUCAAUCUAACCAAAAUAAAUGUAUCCCAGAUGACUGCUAGACCAGCUGGCUACCACAGUCUUCAGAUGGCUAAAUGCUCAACUGAGAUGGAUUCAGCAUUAUAUUUACUACUACUUUUUUUUAUUUCAAAAUCAGCCUAUAAUUAAAAAAAGAUUCUUGGUCCGGUUAAAAGAGGCAAUGCUCACGACUGGCAGUGCAUCAUUCUGAAAUGGACACUGAUAUUUUUCAUUUCUGGACAUGCCUUUGGAAGAUUGUGUUUUUAGAACAGAUGGACUUGUCAUAAUACAGACAUAGUUAGUAUGGUGAAAACUAGUAGACGGCUCAGGUUGGCCAUAUCCAUGUAAUGUGCAAAAUGAAGUUAAGGGAAACAAAUGCUGCACUCAACUAGUGGGGACUUGGUAUGAUUUUUAGCAACCCCCUACAGUGAGAGUUUUGGGUUUUUUUAAACACAAAUCCAAAACCCAUAAAGUCAUCUUAAAAUUUGUAUGAGGGGAUUUCCCAAUAGUCAUGGUGAGCUAUCCUGCAAGACGCCUGUCUGGGCCUUCCACUAUUUGUUACCAGGUCUACAAAGGCAGCCCUGUAUGUUGGAUUAUAUUUAGCCAGCUGUUGGAUAACAUUCCUGUGUUGUGGGCGGAGGAGUCUUAUUACUUCCAAACUGUAGUUAUCUGUUUAAAGGAAAAAUAGUUUUGGAAAAUACAUUGAGCUCAGCUGAGGAGUUGCACCUCUCCUGUACCUUUCUCAAAUGCUCUGUUCCCAACCCAGCCACUUUAAAACAAAACUGGGAGGAGGAAGAGAGACUUAACUCAUAGCUUCAAAGCUGCAGAGACAAGCAAAAUGUCAGCAGCUUGUAAUUAGCUGCUCAUGGUUAUGUCAGUGACUGUAUCUCUCCAAGAAUAACUGUGAUGCGUGCCACAAAGUAAGGAAGAUAGUCAUAACCUAGUUAUCAAGCCUGGUUCAAACAAGAGCAAAUGGAUUAAUGAAUCUGCUGUGUUCAUAAAUCAAAUAUGGAUGGAUUACAUAUAUAAGAUUUACUGAAUUCUGCAUAAUUGAAGGGUGAAUUAGGAACUUGUCAGAGGGCACGUUCGCUAAGUAAAAGUGUGAAUCCUUUUAAAAAUGCAGAUGAACUAUCCCUGAAAAUGUCUUUAAGGGCUCCAUCUAGUACAAGCAGCUGUGAGACACUGAAGCAUGCUACAAAGGAAAAAACCAAGAGACGCACGGAGGUGCUUAAAAGAAAGGGAGUAAUAAAACAAAGAAAGCAUGCUGAAAUUCUGUUUUGGCAUUACAGAUUUGAUACUAAAAUACCACCCCAGAGAAGACAUAUUGUGGUCUGAUGUGGUUUAAAUUGACUCCUCUGUUUGAGUGCAAAAAAAGAAAAAAGAUUUUGUGAGGCUCAGUGCAACAUCUUGGAGCCAAGCAGAGAGCAGAGUACCAGAAAUGCUUGCUUUUAAAGGGACAAGAUCAAUCCAUACUAGGAUCUUUCUAUACUCUGCAAUUAUUUUAGGUCUAUGCUGGCAAUUCAGCAACAUUUAAACAGUGAGAUUGUGGGGGGUACUUAAUCUGCUCUGAUUGGUCUUUUUCCACAUUGUUGCUGUAAAAUGUUUACAUGGCUUUUAUCCAUACACCUUACAACAUUCAGUUUGCAUUUCUGUUUGUGUUCAUGCUGCACAAUUGCUACAAGCCUGGUUUGUUUCCAUAUUCCCAGCAGAAGUCAGUUUCAGUUCAGCUAUGUUUAUUUAGCUCCUUAAUACACCAAGAUAGAUAGAUUGUAUUUUGCAAACACAGAUUUUUUUUUUUUACUGUGAACACAAAUUUGUAGGAGGAGAUGACUGUAUAUUAAACCAAUAGCUCUUUGAAAUGCAUGUAAUAUAAUUUAAAUAUACUUAAUUUAAUUAAUAGAAGGUUACAAAAGCUG